UACGGGGGGGGCAAGCGUUGUUCGGAAUUACUGGGCGUAAAGGGCUCGUAGGCGGCCAACUAAGUCCGACGUGAAAUCCCCAGGCUUAACCUGGGAACUGCGUCGGAUACUGGAUGGCUUGAAUUCGGGAGAGGGAUGCAGAAUUCCAGGUGUAGCGGUGAAAUGCGUAGAUAUCUGGAGGAAUACCGGUGGCGAAGGCGGCAUCCUGGACCGACAUUGACGCUGAUGAGCGAAAGCUAGGGGAGCAAACGGGG
Molecule: ribosomal RNA, 254 nt
Filed under: uncultured bacterium
Lineage: Bacteria
Description: partial 16S ribosomal RNA
Rfam family: Bacterial small subunit ribosomal RNA
Source: RNAcentral